This is a small nucleolar RNA of Dioscorea cayenensis subsp. rotundata (Guinea yam), 107 nucleotides long. Lineage: Eukaryota; Viridiplantae; Streptophyta; Magnoliopsida; Dioscoreales; Dioscoreaceae. The record is from RefSeq and is a predicted model, not a curated record.
AACCCAUGCUGAGGACAUUUCUGCUAGAGAUCCUUGAACCUAUCCCAUGUCUCAAAAAAAGACUCCAAUUCCGUCUGCAAAAAAGAGGAUUUUUCAUUCUUGAGCUU